RNAcentral lists this ribosomal RNA (254 nucleotides) under uncultured bacterium. Its description in RNAcentral is "partial 16S ribosomal RNA". It matches the Rfam family "Bacterial small subunit ribosomal RNA", at positions 15 to 263 of the family's 1533-position model. The record is from RNAcentral.
GAUCCUGGCUCAGGAUAAACGCUGGCGGCGUGCCUAAUACAUGCAAGUCGAGCGAGGUAUUCAGCAAUGGAUACCGAGCGGCGAACGGGUGAGUAACACGUUGGGAACCUACCCCCCUGAUUGGAAUACCCAAGGGAAACUUUGGUUAAUGCCGAAUACGUGGUUCUGGGAUAACCUGGAGCCAUAAAAAAGCGGCCUUAAAGCCGCGCAGAGGGAUGGACCUGCGGCGCAUUAGCUAGUAGGUGAGAUAAUAG